This 490-nucleotide ribosomal RNA is filed under the name uncultured bacterium. RNAcentral's name for it is "partial 16S ribosomal RNA". It matches the Rfam family "Bacterial small subunit ribosomal RNA", at positions 30 to 507 of the family's 1533-position model. The record is from RNAcentral.
AUUGAGCGCUGGCGGCAGGCCUAACACAUGCAAGUCGAACGGUAACAGGAAGAAGCUUGCUUCUUUGCUGACGAGUGGCGGACGGGUGAGUAAUGUCUGGGAAACUGCCUGAUGGAGGGGGAUAACUACUGGAAACGGUAGCUAAUACCGCAUAAUGUCGCAAGACCAAAGAGGGGGACCUUCGGGCCUCUUGCCAUCGGAUGUGCCCAGAUGGGAUUAGCUAGUAGGUGGGGUAACGGCUCACCUAGGCGACGAUCCCUAGCUGGUCUGAGAGGAUGACCAGCCACACUGGAACUGAGACACGGUCCAGACUCCUACGGGAGGCAGCAGUGGGGAAUAUUGCACAAAGGGCGCAAGCCUGAUGCAGCUAUGCCGCGUGUAUGAAGAAGGCCUUCGGGUUGUAAAGUACUUUCAGCGGGGAGGAAGGGAGUAAAGUUAAUACCUUUGCUCAUUGACGUUACCCGCAGAAGAAGCACCGGCUAACUCCGUG